This 774-nucleotide ribosomal RNA is filed under the name uncultured Neocallimastigales. Its description in RNAcentral is "partial large subunit ribosomal RNA". It matches the Rfam family "Eukaryotic large subunit ribosomal RNA", at positions 20 to 641 of the family's 3401-position model. The record is from RNAcentral. Lineage: Eukaryota; Fungi; Neocallimastigomycota; Neocallimastigomycetes; Neocallimastigales.
CAUCACUACGCUAGAUGCAUAUCAAUAAGCGGAGGAAAAGAAACUAACUAGGAUUCCCUCAGUAACGGCGAGUGAAGCGGGAAGAGCUCAAAUUUGAAAUCUUCAAGGUUCUACCUUGACGAAUUGUAGUUUAAAGAAGUGUUUUCUGUUGGAGUUUUGGUAAAAGUUCUUUGGAAUAGGACAUCAUAGGGGGUGAGAAUCCCGUAUUUGACCAUUAUUUCCAACUUUGUGAUACACUUUCAAAGAGUCGGAUUGUUUGGGAAUGCAGUCCAAAAUGGGUGGUAAAUUUCAUCUAAAGCUAAAUACUGGCGAGAGACCGAUAGCGAACAAGUACCGUGAGGGAAAGAUGAAAAGAACUUUGAAAAGAGAGUUAAACAGUACGUGAAAUUGUCAAAAGGGAAGCGUUUGACAUCAGUGUUGUUUUCUCGAAGAUCAAUUAAAAAAGGCCGGAUUUUGUGUUGUAUUGACCUUAAAAGCUUUCUUCACUCUUUUCUUGUCUUUUUUAAUGCACUUUUCGUUUAACAAGUCAACAUCAGUUUCUUUUGUUGUAAAAAGGUCAUUGGAAGGUGGCCUUCUUUUCGGAGAAAGUGUUUAUAGCCUUUGAUCCCUGCAAUCGGAGAGACUGAGGUCUGCAGCGUAGAUCCUUCGGGGUUAGAUACAUUUGUGCUAAGUUAUAGCUUUUUAUAGACAACUUGUUGACUAUAUUUAGUCUUGUAGCUUACUCGCUUAUGCUAUUUUACCUACGCUUAGGAUGUUGACGAGACUGUCGAUCUC